Molecule: long non-coding RNA, 345 nt
Organism: Cavia porcellus (domestic guinea pig)
Lineage: Eukaryota; Metazoa; Chordata; Mammalia; Rodentia; Caviidae
Exons: 3
Source: RefSeq, a predicted model, not a curated record
UCGCCCAGCCUAAAACGUUUAACCCAGUCUUCCAAGUUCUCUGCUCAGGAGACACCUCCUCCUCUAGGAAACCGAUCUCGAUUGCCCUGGCUGAAUUUCUCUGCUUCUUCCCGCGCAAAUCUGGUAGCACUUUUCCCACAACAGCAUCGUGAUGUCAGGGGCUCAUCGUGUUCACUGAGGCAUCAGGAGCAAAAUUCCCAACAAUUUCUGGGUUCCGCUGUGCAGAAGGAAAGCUGUGUGUGUGGCCGACUGUCCAGCCCAUGGCUAGCACCCGCACCUGAGCUCAGGUGUUUGUUUGGAAGCUUUCACAGCCCUCCGGACCUUUUUACCCAGCUGUGCACCUGG